Molecule: long non-coding RNA, 496 nt
Organism: Phyllostomus hastatus (greater spear-nosed bat)
Lineage: Eukaryota; Metazoa; Chordata; Mammalia; Chiroptera; Phyllostomidae
Exons: 3
Source: RefSeq, a predicted model, not a curated record
CGGGUGCGCGCGCGCGCGCGCGCGGUGGUGCGCCGCUCUUCCAAGGUCGUCGGUACCGCCCUCCCCGCGAAGCCGGGCGCCGGCGUUGACCUCUUAACAAAGAACAGGGACCUAAGCGAUGGAUGUUUUGGAAGGGCUCCGUGUUCCCUUUGGGAAGCGGAGAGAGAGAAGGCAGCCCUUCAAAGGGAAGAUGCGUUCAAAACCAGCCAGUCUCCGUGAUGAAAGCACCCCCAGAGGGGGCAGACGGCAGGGGAGGGCCGGCGGAACAGCGAGCUCUCUCUCUCUCUGGUGCCUUUGUGCCCGCAGCAGAGGGCAGCGAGCCCCGCUGGUGGGCUGUGCUCUGGGCCCAGGAUCGGAAUUUGAAGCCGGUUGACAGCAUCGCUGACGCAGGAGACCUCUCCUUUCCCCUCCUCCAGGAUUUGCCGAAGCGACAGAGUGGGCAUUGACGAGGCAGAGGGGGAGAGGAAGAGACCCCUUCCCUGUGCGGGGGAGCCAG